GUAGGGAAUAUUGCACAAUGGGGGAAACCCUGAUGCAGCAACGCCGCGUGAGUGAAGAAGGCCCUUGGGUUGUAAAGCUCUUUAGCGAGGGAAGAAGGUAGAUACGGUGAAUAAUCGUGUCUGCUGACGGUACCUCGAGAAUAAGCACCGGCUAAUUUCGUGCCAGCAGCCGCGGUAAUACGAAAGGUGCAAGCGUUACUCGGAAUCACUGGGCGUAAAGCGCACGUAGGCGGACUCGUAGGUCAGUUGUGAAAUACCUGGGCUCAACCCGGGAACUGCAGCUGAAACCGCUUGUCUUGAAUACCUGAGAGGGUGGGGGAAUACCUGGUGGAGAAGUGAAAUUCGUAGAGAUCAGGUGGAACACCGGAGGCGAAGGCGCCUGCCUGGCAGUGUAUUGACGCUGAGGUGCGAAAGUGCGGGGAGCAAACAGGAUUAGAUACCCUAGUAGUCC
This 451-nucleotide ribosomal RNA is filed under the name uncultured bacterium. RNAcentral's name for it is "bacterial SSU rRNA". It matches the Rfam family "Bacterial small subunit ribosomal RNA", at positions 354 to 796 of the family's 1533-position model. The record is from RNAcentral.